CUGAUUUAGCGGCGGACGGGUGAGUAAUGCCUAGGAAUCUGCCUGGUAGUGGGGGAUAACGUUCCGAAAGGAACGCUAAUACCGCGUACGUCCUACGGGAGAAAGCAGGGGACCUUCGGGCCUUGCGCUAUCAGAUGAGCCUAGGUCGGAUUAGCUAGUUGGUGAGGUAACGGCUCACCAAGGCGACGAUCCGUAACUGGUCU
Molecule: ribosomal RNA, 203 nt
Filed under: bacterium HGMI
Lineage: Bacteria
Description: partial 16S ribosomal RNA
Rfam family: Bacterial small subunit ribosomal RNA
Source: RNAcentral